This 492-nucleotide ribosomal RNA is filed under the name uncultured bacterium. RNAcentral describes it as "partial 16S ribosomal RNA". It matches the Rfam family "Bacterial small subunit ribosomal RNA", at positions 29 to 507 of the family's 1533-position model. The record is from RNAcentral.
AGUGAACGCUGGCGAUAGGCCUAACACAUGCAAGUCGAACGGCAGCACAGUAAGAGCUUGCUCUUACGGGUGGCGAGUGGCGGACGGGUGAGGAAUACAUCGGAAUCUACUUUUUCGUGGGGGAUAACGUAGGGAAACUUACGCUAAUACCGCAUACGACCUACGGGUGAAAGCAGGGGAUCUUCGGACCUUGCGCGAUUGAAUGAGCCGAUGUCGGAUUAGCUAGUUGGCGGGGUAAAGGCCCACCAAGGCGACGAUCUGUAGCUGGUCUGAGAGGAUGAUCAGCCACACUGGAACUGAGACACGGUCCAGACUCCUACGGGAGGCAGCAGUGGGGAAUAUUGGACAAUGGGCGCAAGCCUGAUCCAGCCAUACCGCGUGGGUGAAGAAGGCCUUCGGGUUGUAAAGCCCUUUUGUUGGGAAAGAAAAGCAGCAGGUUAAUACCCCGCUGUUCUGACGGUACCCAAAGAAUAAGCACCGGCUAACUUCGUG